AAAGAUUUGUUCUUUGGGUGAAUCCCAUGUGAUGACAUAGAAUUCUUCAACUUGGGCUUUUCUCAGCAGUCCACCAGUGCUUCCUCCGAAGAUGGGUGAUGGGGUGUUUGGGUCCAAUUCUGGAGGGGUGAAACCCACCGGAGCUUCCUUUGUGGCAGCGGCAGCAGCAGCUUCAUCUGCAGCUGCAGCCCUAACGCUAGUUCUCUGAGCCAUGGAGAAGUUGAUGGACUUGGGGGUAGCUAAUGAAAAUGGUGAAGAUGGGUUCCAUGGAGCCAGAGACUUUGAAGUGGUG
RNAcentral lists this long non-coding RNA (292 nucleotides) under Gossypium barbadense (sea-island cotton). RNAcentral's name for it is "long non-coding RNA (GBAR_LNC018353)". Lineage: Eukaryota; Viridiplantae; Streptophyta; Magnoliopsida; Malvales; Malvaceae. The record is from RNAcentral.